Molecule: transfer RNA, 95 nt
Filed under: Colletotrichum higginsianum
Lineage: Eukaryota; Fungi; Ascomycota; Sordariomycetes; Glomerellales; Glomerellaceae
Also listed under: 1 other name
Description: tRNA CH063_16339
Rfam family: tRNA
About the family: Transfer RNA (tRNA) molecules are approximately 80 nucleotides in length. Their secondary structure includes four short double-helical elements and three loops (D, anti-codon, and T loops).
Source: RNAcentral
GGUGGAGUGGCCGAGUGGUCUAAGGCGUGAGAUUUAGGUUAUGUAAGCAACCUCUCUCAUGGGUAACCGCGCGAGUUCGAAUCUCGUCUCCAUCA